RNAcentral lists this ribosomal RNA (250 nucleotides) under uncultured bacterium. RNAcentral describes it as "partial 16S ribosomal RNA". It matches the Rfam family "Bacterial small subunit ribosomal RNA", at positions 524 to 773 of the family's 1533-position model. The record is from RNAcentral.
UACGUAGGUGGCUAGCGUUAUCCGGAUUUACUGGGCGUAAAGCGUGCGCAGGCGGCUUUUCAAGUCAGAUGUAAAAUCUCCCGGCUCAACCGGGAGAGACCAUCUGAUACUGUUAGGCUAGAGUGCGGCAGAGGGAAGUGGAAUUCCCGGUGUAGUGGUGGAAUGCGUAGAUAUCGGGAGGAACACCAGUGGCGAAAGCGGCUUUCUGGGCUGUUACUGACGCUGUAGCACGAAAGCGUGGGGAGCAAAC